RNAcentral lists this ribosomal RNA (253 nucleotides) under uncultured bacterium. RNAcentral describes it as "partial 16S ribosomal RNA". It matches the Rfam family "Bacterial small subunit ribosomal RNA", at positions 524 to 776 of the family's 1533-position model. The record is from RNAcentral.
UACGUAGGGUGCAAGCGUUGUCCGGAAUUAUUGGGCGUAAAGAGCUCGUAGGCGGUUUGUCGCGUCUGCUGUGAAAACCCGAGGCUCAACCUCGGGCCUGCAGUGGAUACGGGCAGACUAGAGUGCGGUAGGGGAGAUUGGAAUUCCUGGUGUAGCGGUGGAAUGCGCAGAUAUCAGGAGGAACACCGAUGGCGAAGGCGGGUCUCUGGGCCGUAACUGACGCUGAGGAGCGAAAGCAUGGGGAGCGAACAGG